This is a long non-coding RNA of Chiroxiphia lanceolata (lance-tailed manakin), 224 nucleotides long. RefSeq lists it as uncharacterized. The transcript is spliced from 3 exons. The record is from RefSeq and is a predicted model, not a curated record. NCBI's taxonomy places the organism in Eukaryota, Metazoa, Chordata, Aves, Passeriformes, Pipridae.
GGCCCAUCUGACACCUGCCGGGUCACCGGCCGGCCCGUGUGCGGACGGGGCCCUCCGUGCCCUCGGCAAGCAGCGCUGGGCUGUUGUCCCCUCCUGGCCUGGAAGGGUUCGGGCGUAGGAACAAGAGAGCUCAGGAACAGCAGUCCUUGGAGAAACGGAGAGCAGAGGGCAGUGGAAGGGAUGUCACCAUCUUCCCAGCAACAGGCACAAACUUGAUAGAAUUA